Molecule: unclassified non-coding RNA, 308 nt
Filed under: Hevea brasiliensis (rubber tree)
Lineage: Eukaryota; Viridiplantae; Streptophyta; Magnoliopsida; Malpighiales; Euphorbiaceae
Source: RNAcentral
GCUAGCGCCAUCAAUUUGUUUAAAUUUCUCCAAAUAUUUGGGCAAGAAAUAAAAUGGGAGAAGAGAAGGAGGUGAUUUCUCAUGUUAUUACCACUCCUCCUUUUGAAGUUGAAGUUCCUAAAACUCUUCAUCAGAUUGGCCAAGAAAUUUAAAUUUAUGGGAGAAGAGAAGGAGGUGAUGUCUCAUGUUAUUUCCAAUCCCUCUUUUGAAGUUGAAACUCUUCAUCAGAUUGGCCAAGAAAUUUAAAUUUAUGGGAGAAGAGAAGGAGGUGAUGUCUCAUGUUAUUUCCAAUCCCUCUUUUGAAGUUG